UUACAAGAUCAGCACUGCCAGGUUUUAAAGGGACAGUGUCACCGUUGGGCAUGCACCCUGAGAUGCAGCAAUGCUGAGAAUGUUUCGAACAAAGCGCCAUCUUAGAUUUUGAAAUUCAUGCAAAUAUACGGCUUUGCACGUAUUAAAUCUGCAUAAAUUAUUCUGUCUAGUGAUCAAUGAAUACGCUCUCUCGAUCGAAAUAUUUCGAAUACACAAACUUCUGCGACGUUAACAGAGUCUACAGCAACGCCGAGAAUCUGCUCAUUUGGAUACAGAACCGAGACAUCAGACAUCUGGGUCUAGAGGGAACCUUUUGUUUAAUUUCCUUCCUCUGGUGGGCCUUGAAAGGGAAACUGAAGCUCUAAGUUUAAUCGAACUGAGUCAUAGCAAUGACUGGAGGAGUCAGAGUGAGCCCUAGUUCAGCCAUUAAAUAAAUCAGAAUAUCAAGGGCUCGUCCCUCUCUUAUAUUCUAGCGCUCGAACAGAAGAUCGCGACAGUUAGGUGACAGCAGCAGUUUCAUUGCGGAAAAUCUUUAUUUAAAAAGACUGACGCGCCGAUUAACUCAGCUGAAUGGUUAAUUUUUUCCGCAUUCGCAGCCGUUGCCUUUAGGGAGUUGGGAGAGAGUUUGAGAAAGCUUAAUCAGUAUCUCUUUAUUAAACGCAACAUUUUCAACGACAUC
Long non-coding RNA from Stylophora pistillata, 679 nucleotides. Lineage: Eukaryota; Metazoa; Cnidaria; Anthozoa; Scleractinia; Pocilloporidae. The record is from RefSeq and is a predicted model, not a curated record.